GGACAGAACAUUUAUAAACAUAACUUUGUCUGUGAAAAUAAAAGAAAAUACAAUAAUAAAUAUUUCUUAUAAUAUACAUUACUAUGCUAAGUAGUGUGAUAAAGAACAGAGCAUAUGGAAGGCAGAUGUGAUGCAACCAGUAGUAUAGAUCCAAAGGUUGCAAGGUUAAAGACAUAACUGGACCUAAGUAAGGAUUUUAUGGCAGCUCUAGACAUUAUAGAAGGAUAUGUCUUGUCUAUUAAUACAUCAACAAUGCAUUGGAGACUGACAGCAGUGCAUUCAUUAUGCUCCUCUGGGGUGAUGUAAGCAAAGGGUUUCUUCAAAAUGUAUGCUUAUAUUGAUUAGUGUUCCCUACUCCAAAAUGGGUCCUCACUAUGAAAUACCUUAGCUGAAGCAGUUGGUAGCACAAAUCAGCCAUGAACCAAAGUAAGAGAUAUCUUUGUGCUCUACCACCUAGACCACCAGAGGGUGCAACUCAUACCAAUGCAUCUAUAAAUAGAUUGACAACAGAAUGGAAUUGGUUACAAGUAACAGCAAGGA
Non-coding RNA from Pelobates cultripes (western spadefoot toad), 540 nucleotides. NCBI's taxonomy places the organism in Eukaryota, Metazoa, Chordata, Amphibia, Anura, Pelobatidae. The record is from the annotation of a GenBank genome assembly.